GACGAACGCUGGCGGCGUGCCUAAUACAUGCAAGUCGAACGCUUCUUUCCUCCCGAGUGCUUGCACUCAAUUGGAAAGAGGAGUAGCGGACGGGUGAGUAACACGUGGGUAACCUACCCAUCAGAGGGGGAUAACACUUGGAAACAGGUGCUAAUACCGCAUAACAGUUUAUGCCGCAUGGCAUAAGAGUGAAGGGCGCUUUCGGGUGUCGCUGAUGGAUGGACCCGCGGUGCAUUAGCUAGUUGGUGAGGUAACGGCUCACCAAGGCCACGAUGCAUAGCCGACCUGAGAGGGUGAUCGGCCACACUGGGACUGAGACACGGCCCAGACUCCUACGGGAGGCAGCAGUAGGGAAUCUUCGGCAAUGGACGAAAGUCUGACCGAGCAACGCCGCGUGAGUGAAGAAGGUUUUCGGAUCGUAAAACUCUGUUGUUAGAGAAGAACAAGGACGUUAGUAACUGAACGUCCCCUGACGGUAUCUAACCAGAAAGCCACGGCUAACUACGUG
This 508-nucleotide ribosomal RNA is filed under the name uncultured bacterium. RNAcentral's name for it is "partial 16S ribosomal RNA". It matches the Rfam family "Bacterial small subunit ribosomal RNA", at positions 28 to 507 of the family's 1533-position model. The record is from RNAcentral.